Molecule: long non-coding RNA, 1049 nt
Filed under: Homo sapiens (human)
Lineage: Eukaryota; Metazoa; Chordata; Mammalia; Primates; Hominidae
Description: HSALNT0016786
Source: RNAcentral
CAUUUAAUGCAAAAAGGCUUGAAAGUAACAAUAGAAAAAGUCCCCAAACAAUAAAGGAAUGUAUGUGAACUGAUCACUCAAGCGAUGUUUUCACCAGCUCUGUAUCAAGAAGAAGAGGGGGAAAAAAAAAAAAAAGCUCCUGCAACUUUACAGACACUUUGUUCCUCCGACCCAUCAACUGCAUGAAAGAUAUGCUGGCAAAAAGAUUGAAGGUUCCAGGGUCUUGAGUAGCCAAGUAAUCGUGCUUUAGAAUCAAAGGGUUCUUUUCAGCAGACCACAGUUGACUCCUACCUUUAACACAACACUCAACAUUCCAGGAGAGGUUUUUGCCUUCCCUUCAAUCCUUCCAACACACAAGUUGAAGACUAAGAGGGAGCACACAAAUGGAGCCAGCUACAGAGGAAGAACUGAAAAUUUCCCCAUCCCAAAAUUGUAUCUGAUCUCUCUCUGCAUCUAGGCCAUUGAAAGGGGGAAGUCGCCAAGCCCUGUUUGUCCACAGUUUCACAAAAGAAGAGAGACUGAACAUCAAAAAAGUAGUAUCUAUUCUUACUAGCCCCUUCCACUUCACAAACUUAUUUUUAAGCCAGUUUAUUGGUAUGUCUGAGAGUAUUCUUCUAGAACAAUAUAAUAGAGAAAAAUGUUCCAAUUCAAAAGAGAAUUGCCAGUGGGAAAUCUUCCUCUUACCAUACCUAUUAGCUUUUCUUCAGAUAAUAAAAUUCAAAGAGAGCACCAAUUAAUUUUUAAAAUUUCCCCUAUUUAAACAAAACUUAGGAUACUUUGAGUCUUUCAACAUUUCCAAGUUUUCAAACACCCGUAAACCUUAGUACUUUUGAGUUUACAUGUUGCAUGUGCUUGCAGCUAAAAUUGAGUAUAAUUCAUAACAUCUAUGUUUUUAACUGCUUCCUCUCAUUUUCUCAACUCAGAUUCUUAUUUCACGUAGACAGAAAUACACAUAAUGAUGUCUUCUCCAUAUAACCAAGUCAUCUGAAGUAUAGGAGUUGCGUAUAUUUGUUUACAGGGUUUUCAAAGAGAAAAACGCUACUUCGGAG